AAAAAGGCAAACCCUAGAUUUCCUUACUAACGUUUGACUGUCCGUCUUAUAUGAAAUUUUUUUAUAAUUAGUAUUUUUAUUAUUGUUAGAUGAUAAAACAUGAUUAAUACUUUAUGCGCGACUUAUUUUUUAAAUUUUUUUUAUAAUUUUUUUAAAUAAGACGGACGGUCAAACAUUGAACACGGAAACCAGGGUUUGUCUUUUU
This is a microRNA precursor of Oryza sativa Japonica Group (Japanese rice), 205 nucleotides long. It matches the Rfam family "MIR812 microRNA precursor family". Lineage: Eukaryota; Viridiplantae; Streptophyta; Magnoliopsida; Poales; Poaceae. The record is from Rfam.